UAUAUCAUAUCAAUAUACACUAUUAUAAACUCACGUGAUAUGGAUCGGGUGCACACUAAUUAGUGUGCACCGGGUUCAUAUUAGUUUUUUUAUAUAAUCAAUUAGCCUCCAAUCAAUCUCAUUGAUUGAGAAAUCAAGCAAUCAAAGAUCCAUCUACCCUAAAUUACUCUUGAUAAUUACACUAUAAAAACCCACAACUCUCUCCCACCAGAUCACUUUGCUGAACUCUUCCUCUUGUGUGGACGGAGAUUUUGUAGAAGGAGCUUUCGAGGGGUGACUUUAUUAUUCAUAUUUGCGCUACUCGAGGUAAUUUGUAUGUCCAUCGUACUCUAAUUCCCAUUGUAAAACGAUUACCUAUGUAACUGUGUGAUUACGUGGUUAUGUAUGUGACAAAUAAUCUAUAGACUAAUGUUAUUAAUUUAUGAGUUAGUAAUUACUAUUAUAAGCAUAUGAUUCUCGUAUUACUAUAAUAGUUGAUUAUGUUAUUUUAUUGUUGCUAAUAAUAUAAAUCUUUUAUUAUCAUGUAA
Long non-coding RNA from Beta vulgaris subsp. vulgaris (sugar beet), 527 nucleotides. RefSeq lists it as uncharacterized. Lineage: Eukaryota; Viridiplantae; Streptophyta; Magnoliopsida; Caryophyllales; Amaranthaceae. The transcript is spliced from 2 exons. The record is from RefSeq and is a predicted model, not a curated record.